GACGAACGCUGGCGGCGUGCUUAACACAUGCAAGUCGAACGGAAAGGCCCCCUUGUGGGGUACUCGAGUGGCGAACGGGUGAGUAACACGUGAGUAACCUACCCUUGACUUUGGGAUAACUUCAGGAAACUGGGGCUAAUACCGGAUAGGAGCUCCUGCUGCAUGGUGGGGGUUGGAAAGUGUCGGCGGGUGGGGAUGGACUCGCGGCUGAUCAGCUUGUUGGUGGGGUAGUGGCUCACCAAGGCUUUGACGGGUAGCCGGCCUGAGAGGGUGACCGGCAACAUUGGGACUGAGAUACGGCCCAGACUCCUACGGGAGGCAGCAGUGGGGAAUAUUGCACAAUGGGCGGAAGCCUGAUGCAGCAACGCCGCGUGCGGGAUGACGGCCUUCGGGUUGUAAACCGCUUUCGCCUGUGACGAAGCGUGAGUGACGGUAAUGGGUAAAGAAGCACCGGCUAACUACGUG
RNAcentral lists this ribosomal RNA (465 nucleotides) under uncultured bacterium. RNAcentral's name for it is "partial 16S ribosomal RNA". It matches the Rfam family "Bacterial small subunit ribosomal RNA", at positions 28 to 507 of the family's 1533-position model. The record is from RNAcentral.